AAAGUAAGCUGGGUAAUCGCUGGUGGAUUUCCGCAAGGAGCCACGAGAGGAAAGUCCGAGCUCCAUAGGGCAGGGUGCUGGAUAACGUCCAGUCAGAGUGAUCUGAAGGAUAGUGCCACAGAAAUGGACCGCCUAUGUGUCAUUACUUAAUGAUGCAGGCAAGGGUGCAACCGUGGUGUAAGAGACCACGAAGGGUUAUGGUGACAUAUCCCUUGGUAAACCCCACCUGGAGCAAGACCUUAUAGGAACGCACAUAGAGUUGCCCGCUCUGCGUUCGGGUUGGUCGCUUGAGCUAUCUAGUAAUAGGUAGCCUAGAUAGAUGAUUACCACUUCAAUGGUGGGAGCACUAUGGUGCGUAGUACCACUGGAAGUACAGAACUCGGCUUAUAGGCUUACUUUCCUU
Molecule: RNase P RNA, 403 nt
Filed under: Vulcanibacillus modesticaldus
Lineage: Bacteria; Bacillati; Bacillota; Bacilli; Caryophanales; Bacillaceae
Description: Bacterial RNase P class A
Rfam family: Bacterial RNase P class A
About the family: Ribonuclease P (RNase P) is a ubiquitous endoribonuclease, found in archaea, bacteria and eukarya as well as chloroplasts and mitochondria. Its best characterised activity is the generation of mature 5'-ends of tRNAs by cleaving the 5'-leader elements of precursor-tRNAs. Cellular RNase Ps are ribonucleoproteins.
Source: Rfam by way of RNAcentral